UGCGUAGGCGGAUUAAUAAGUCAGUGGUGAAAUCUUUCGGCUCAACCGAGAAACUGCCAUUGAUACUGUUGAUCUUGAGUUCGGUUGAGGUAGGCGGAAUGUGUAAUGUAGCGGUGAAAUGCUUAGAUAUUACACAGAACACCAAUUGCGUAGGCAGCUUACUAGACCGACACUGACGCUGAGGCACGAAAGCGUGGGGAGCGAACAGGAUUAGAUACCCUGGUAGUC
RNAcentral lists this ribosomal RNA (228 nucleotides) under uncultured bacterium. Its description in RNAcentral is "partial 16S ribosomal RNA". It matches the Rfam family "Bacterial small subunit ribosomal RNA", at positions 568 to 795 of the family's 1533-position model. The record is from RNAcentral.